RNAcentral lists this ribosomal RNA (587 nucleotides) under Ankistrodesmus sp. M234. Its description in RNAcentral is "eukaryotic LSU rRNA". It matches the Rfam family "Eukaryotic large subunit ribosomal RNA", at positions 21 to 635 of the family's 3401-position model. The record is from RNAcentral. Lineage: Eukaryota; Viridiplantae; Chlorophyta; Chlorophyceae; Sphaeropleales; Selenastraceae.
UUUUUACCCGCUGAAUUUAAGCAUAUCACUAAGCGGAGGAAAAGAAACUAACAAGGAUGCGCUUAGUAACGGCGAGCGAACCGCGCAAAGGCCAACUUGAAAAUCUCCCUCGGAGAAUUGUAGUCUAUAGAAGUACCCUCUGCAACGGGCUGAGCUAAAGUCUCCUGGAAAGGGGCGUCAGAGAGGGUGAGAACCCCGUAAGCUCACGCUUAGUUGCCUCACGAGGUGCUUUCAAAGAGUCGGGUUGCUUGGGAAUGCAGCCCAAAUUUGGUGGUAAAUCCCAUCUAAGCCUAAAUACUGGCGAGAGACCGAUAGCGAACAAGUACCGUGAGGGAAAGAUGAAAAGAACUUUGAAAAGAGAGUUAAAUAGUGCUUGAAAUUGUUGAGGGGGAAGCGUUUGAAUGCUGGAGUGCGCUCAGGCUUAUGGGUCCUUAACGGGGCUCUGUAUGUGCUGAGCGCUGGCCAGCAUGGGUUAGGCUAGUGGGACAAAAGCGCGGGUUGAUACCAUGCCGUGCCACUGGCUUGACCAAGGCGUGAAGACUGCCCUUGUCCUUCGGGAACUGCAGUCUCAAGAUGCUGGAAAGUCC